This is a non-coding RNA of Pelobates cultripes (western spadefoot toad), 216 nucleotides long. NCBI's taxonomy places the organism in Eukaryota, Metazoa, Chordata, Amphibia, Anura, Pelobatidae. The record is from the annotation of a GenBank genome assembly.
GCCGCAGGCUGUGUGGAGGGGGCGGGGAUAUGAAUGAUAUCAUAUCCCUGUUCACUGUGUACCACACAGUGCGGCUGGUGCCCAGUGAUAAGGCUGGGCUGCAAGACAGGACUCCACAGAGCCGGACAGCAUGCACCCCAGGGACCAGGUUGAACUGAUGUAAGUAUGUAUGUCUCUGUAUGCAUGUAUAUAUGUUUCUGUAUGCAUGUAUAUAUG